GAUGAACGCUGGCGGCGUGCCUAAUACAUGCAAGUCGAGCUAACAGACGAGGAGCUUGCUCCUCUGACGUUAGCGGCGGACGGGUGAGUAACACGUGGAUAACCUACCUAUAAGACUGGGAUAACUUCGGGAAACUGGAGCUAAUACCGGAUAAUAUAUUGAACCGCAUGGUUCAAUAGUGAAAGACGGUUUUGCUGUCACUUAUAGAUGGAUCCGCGCCGCAUUAGCUAGUUGGUAAGGUAACGGCUUACCAAGGCAACGAUGCGUAGCCGACCUGAGAGGGUGAUCGGCCACACUGGAACUGAGACACGGUCCAGACUCCUACGGGAGGCAGCAGUAGGGAAUCUUCCGCAAUGGGCGAAAGCCUGACGGAGCAACGCCGCGUGAGUGAUGAAGGUCUUCGGAUCGUAAAACUCUGUUAUUAGGGAAGAACAAAUGUGUAAGUAACUAUGCACGUCUUGACGGUACCUAAUCAGAAAGCCACGGCUAACUACGUG
RNAcentral lists this ribosomal RNA (497 nucleotides) under uncultured bacterium. Its description in RNAcentral is "partial 16S ribosomal RNA". It matches the Rfam family "Bacterial small subunit ribosomal RNA", at positions 28 to 507 of the family's 1533-position model. The record is from RNAcentral.